Molecule: long non-coding RNA, 347 nt
Filed under: Olea europaea (common olive)
Lineage: Eukaryota; Viridiplantae; Streptophyta; Magnoliopsida; Lamiales; Oleaceae
Description: long non-coding RNA (OEUR_LNC001605)
Source: RNAcentral
AACACGAAAAUUGGGCAGCUGUUUGGGGUCUUUGGAAUAAACAAACUCGGCAGUUGCUGGAAAUUAAAAGAAAAAAGACAGAUUUCUGGAAUUAAACGGGAAAUUGGGCAGCCUCUGGAGAUAAAUAUGGGUUGGUGACACAUACCGGCAGAAGAGAGGACAUACACAAGAGUGGGCUGCAGUUUUGGAAAUUGGAAUUGAUUUUUAAUCUUUGUUUGAUAAUUUAUCAACAAUUGAGCGGGAAUUAGUCACGUUUUGUCGAUUUGUGGUGAUAUCUUGUAUCCUUUCUGUGUUUAAUUUUGACAAUAUGCUUGGUUAGAUUUUUAUAUUGUUAGGAUGUGAUGAAC